Molecule: long non-coding RNA, 856 nt
Organism: Mytilus californianus (California mussel)
Lineage: Eukaryota; Metazoa; Mollusca; Bivalvia; Mytilida; Mytilidae
Exons: 2
Source: RefSeq, a predicted model, not a curated record
ACUGCUUCGCUGAGCGCAGCUGGAUACGCCCGCAGAAGUCCAACCCUGAACAGUUGGGGCAAAAAUGGACACAAUAUUCAAGCUUGAUACAGGUCUGAAUUUGGAUUGUAAUUAAAUAUUUGACAUAUUAUAGGUUUCUGAAUAAAUGUAGUCAAAGAACUUGAAAUUGGUUAUAUGAAUUGAAUUUAUAUUCAAUUAAAGAUUUCUUUCUGUUGUGCAAUACACUGUGCUGUUGCGCAAUACUAGUAAAUCUGUUGUCAGACUAUAAACAAAUUAAGUUCAAUAACUUCUCAAUGUUAUAUUGGAAAUUUAUAAAAAAAAAUAAAGGGAGGUUAUCUUAAUAGAUAUAAAUCAGUCAUCAAAGUUUAAUGAAAACUGCUCUAAGCACUUUUAGGAUAUUGUCCAAAAACUUGAAAAUCACCCCUUUUUUUAUGAAUAAAAUCUUGUAACUCGGAAAUAUAAAAUCUAAAAUUUAUAAAAAUCAAAAGGGAGCUUACAACAAUAGAUAUAAACAAUUUAACAAAGUUUCAUAAAAUAUGCUGAAAGCAUUUUUGAGUUAUUGUCCGAAAACAGGAAUAUCCCCCUUUUUGUAACAAAUAAAACCCCAUAAAUCAGAAACGUUUUGUCUAAAAUUUAUAAAAAUCAAAAGGGAGCUCAUGUCGAUAGCAUUAAACAAUUCACCAAAGUUUCUUGCAAAUUGGUGAAAUUGUUUUUGAGUUAUUGUCUGAAAACUGGAAAAUCCCCCCUUUUUUAAUGAAUAAAACUCCAAAAUUCGGAAACGGUAAAUCCGAAAUUUAUAAAAAAGGAAAGGGAGCUCACGUCAAUAGAUAUAAACAAUUCACCAAAGUUUCAUGCA